UACAGAGGGUGCAAGCGUUGUUCGGAAUUAUUGGGCGUAAAGGGCGCGUAGGCGGUGCGGUAAGUCACCUGUGAAACCUCUGGGCUUAACUCAGAGCCUGCAGGCGAAACUGCCGUGCUUGAGUGUGGGAGAGGUGCGUGGAAUUCCCGGUGUAGCGGUGAAAUGCGUAGAUAUCAGGAGGAACACCUGUGGUGUAGACAGCUUUCUGGACCAUUGCUGACGCUGAGACACGAAAGCGUGGGUAGCAAACAGG
RNAcentral lists this ribosomal RNA (253 nucleotides) under uncultured bacterium. Its description in RNAcentral is "partial 16S ribosomal RNA". It matches the Rfam family "Bacterial small subunit ribosomal RNA", at positions 524 to 776 of the family's 1533-position model. The record is from RNAcentral.